AAAAGCUGUUUCGCUGAGCUGUGUUCAACUUCUCAAAACUUUCAGUUGUUUCGUUAUGAGAUUUCACCAGACACCCCUGGCUCCAGCACCAUGGCACAGAACAUGGGGUGCCCAACACCUGCUGCUUUGCACAUUUUGGAUGCUGCUGCUUAAUAUCUACCCCUGCUCUUUGCAGAAACUGUUUACAGCUGUUUCAAAGGAGAAACUAGUUCAGCAAACUUCUCAAGUGGACAAGAAGAGGUGCAUCCUGGCAAAGUGAGCAGUUGUCCAGAUACCAGUUCUAUCACUGACCAAUUACAGACAAGUGUCACUCUCCAGUCAG
Corapipo altera (White-ruffed manakin) is the source of this 322-nucleotide long non-coding RNA. RefSeq lists it as uncharacterized. NCBI's taxonomy places the organism in Eukaryota, Metazoa, Chordata, Aves, Passeriformes, Pipridae. The transcript is spliced from 3 exons. The record is from RefSeq and is a predicted model, not a curated record.